RNAcentral lists this ribosomal RNA (612 nucleotides) under Leucosporidium creatinivorum. Its description in RNAcentral is "eukaryotic LSU rRNA". The stretch from base 181 to 334 matches the Rfam family "5.8S ribosomal RNA". The record is from RNAcentral. Lineage: Eukaryota; Fungi; Basidiomycota; Microbotryomycetes; Leucosporidiales; Leucosporidiaceae.
UCCGUAGGUGAACCUGCGGAAGGAUCAUUAGUGAAUAUUAGCGCAUCUACUUGUAGAGCGUGACCUCCACUUUCUAACUCUGUGCAUUUAUUGGCGGAAGGACUUGAGCAAUCGAGCUUCCUUCUGCGGCUCAUUUUAAAACACUAGUUAAAGUAUGUAACGAAAUAUCGAAACAAAAAAAACUUUCAACAACGGAUCUCUUGGCUUGCUCAUCGAUGAAGAACGCAGCGAAAUGUGAUAAGUAAUGUGAAUUGCAGAAUUCAGUGAAUCAUCGAAUCUUUGAACGCACCUUGCGCUCUCUGGUAUUCCGGAGAGCAUGUCUGUUUGAGUGUCAUGAACUCUUCAACCCACCAGUUUCUUGUAGACUGAAUGGUGUUUGGUUUCUGAGCGUUGCUGGUCUUCGGAUCUAGCUCGUUCGUAAUAUAUUAGCAUCUCUAAUUCGAACUCGGAUUGACUCAGUGUAAUAGACUAUUCGCUGAGGACACGCUCUUGUAGUGUGGCCGAAUGAGAUCUCAGUAGAAGCUUCCAACUACUUUAGUCAACUUUAGAUUAGACCUCAGAUCAGGCAGGAUUACCCGCUGAACUUAAGCAUAUCAAUAAGCGGAGGAAAAG